AUACCUUUCUCGGCCUUUCGGCUAAGGUUAAGUAUAGUAUCUGUUCUUAUCAGUUUGAUAUCUGAUAUUGUGAGGCACCGCCUCACAAUGAUAUAUUGAACUAAUUUUUUGUGGGGGUAGGAAUCACUAUAGUGGCUUAGCCACUUGGGUUCCUUGGGCGUUGCUCAAGCAUUGCACUAUAGCUUGGGCUAGGCGCACCCCAA
This 203-nucleotide small nuclear RNA is filed under the name Sorghum bicolor (sorghum). RNAcentral's name for it is "snRNA U2". It matches the Rfam family "U2 spliceosomal RNA". Rfam says of the family: U2 is a small nuclear RNA (snRNA) component of the spliceosome (involved in pre-mRNA splicing). Complementary binding between U2 snRNA (in an area lying towards the 5' end but 3' to hairpin I) and the branchpoint sequence (BPS) of the intron results the bulging out of an unpaired adenosine, on the BPS, which initiates a nucleophilic attack at the intronic 5' splice site, thus starting the first of two transesterification reactions that mediate splicing. Lineage: Eukaryota; Viridiplantae; Streptophyta; Magnoliopsida; Poales; Poaceae. The record is from Rfam by way of RNAcentral.